RNAcentral lists this long non-coding RNA (1498 nucleotides) under Homo sapiens (human). Its description in RNAcentral is "long non-coding RNA NONHSAT118284.2". Lineage: Eukaryota; Metazoa; Chordata; Mammalia; Primates; Hominidae. The record is from RNAcentral.
AUACAGGUGACCGUAUCCUGAGCCCCGGGCAGAGGCAGGACCGAGCCGCAAUCUGAACAGAAAUCCAGGUCCGACUGAAAGCUGGAGCAAGUAUUGGCGAGGUCCAUGACAGACAUGCGGUCGGGUCUGAGGAGGGAGUUGGAAGUUUAUUAACAAAAGAGAGAAGAGUUCCUGUCCCAGAGGUCGUAACUAUUCUGUCCCAGGACCUAGGAGUAUAUAACCCGAACCCUCCUGCCACGCACGCCUCCUGCCUCUGCGACCAAGGAGCCGAAACGCCCGGAAUUCCCAGACAGCGUCGGGUACUAAAGGACUUGGAACCCUUUCCAGGGGCCGGUGAGAGGAGUUAACCAACUCCGUGGGCUAGAGCGCCAGCUCUGCGCCCGCGGCGGGGCAGCGAGAUAGAGCCGGCUAGAGCGUCAGGCUUUCGCGUUGACGAUUGGCUGUGACGUCAUAAUUAAUUGCGAACCGUGUCUCGGGAGCGUUAGAGAUGGAGACUAACGUCUUCCAAGGGAGAUUGCGUCUCUACUUUCACCCUGGUACUGAGAGGUUGAGCACAAAAUUGGUAACCAAUGCUGCGCUUCCAGCAAAUUUUCCCACCAGCACCCAAUCCUGGGAUAUUUAUUCUCUUUGUCUCACAUCCUACAGGAACGCAGUCGCGGGGUAUAUCCCCCUGAAAACCGUACGUUGCCAAAUAAUGAUUUCUUUGGAUUAGAGAACUACAACUCCCCUGGGUCCUGAGCCGGUAUUUCCCUUUUGCGGCUGCACCGUAGUUAAAAACAAAGCUAAGUGUUCUGGGACGUAUAGUUCUAGCGUUCCUUGGGUCCCGCUGGCGAGCGUGGGCUUUCUGCAGCUCGCAACCGGCCUCAUGCUUUGCGGACGGUUCACUGCGCUUGGAAAGGGAUUGGCCUGGGGUACAUCAUCUAAAGAUCCUAGGAUUGCUGCAGGUCAGCAGUCUCCACUGGAAAAAAAGAUCUUGCAUGUAUUUCAAGUCCUCUGAUGAAUCAUGUGAUCUACUAGACCCUGAAGAUACAGUGAAGAGCAAAAGAACACGGAUGAAAUGAGAAACAAAAACGAUGGAGAAAACCAAAAAAGGGGACACAUGGGAUCCAGGCAAUAGGAGAGCCAGCAUAAGAGAGAGGCAGAGGGAUGCCCAGGAUGAGGUGAAGACGAUCUUGGAAAUCAGCCCAGAUGUGCAUGCACCAGUCCACGUGUGGCAGGACCAAGGGAAGUGUCUUCACAAAGAUGAGGCUUUGAUUUGUUGGAGAAACUGUUACCAGAAAAACAGGUCCCGAUCCCGACCCCAAAAGAGUAUUCUUGGAUCUUGCACAGGAAGGAAUUAAAGGUCUAGCUCUGUCUCCUCAGCACAUGUUCUAGGCUCUGACUGCAAGUGCUGACUUGGGCUCCCAGCCCCACACAGACCCUCUGUUCCAUGAAAGGGCCAUCUAUGCAAAGUGCCCCCCAAAUGCCAAAGGAGCCAAUAAACCAAGGAACAAGACAG